This 4918-nucleotide unclassified non-coding RNA is filed under the name Limulus polyphemus (Atlantic horseshoe crab). Its description in RNAcentral is "ras-related protein Rab6, transcript variant X3". Lineage: Eukaryota; Metazoa; Arthropoda; Merostomata; Xiphosura; Limulidae. The record is from RNAcentral.
GUGACCUAGGGACGAGAAUAGAAAACAUUGCAGAUCAUUCCCAGCUGAGGAAAGGGUGAGGUUAUCGAUUGUUUAUUGGAAUAGAAGUCCCCAACGUUGCUCAUUCCUUAAAUUACUAAAUUUUCAAACAUUUACUUGAUAACGUCAAACAUGUCAACAUCUGGAGAUUUUGGGAAUCCUUUACGAAAAUUCAAGCUCGUAUUUCUAGGAGAACAAAGUGUUGGUAAAACAUCACUGAUUACAAGAUUUAUGUAUGACAGUUUUGACAAUACUUAUCAGGCUACAAUAGGAAUAGACUUUCUUUCCAAAACAAUGUAUUUAGAGGAUCGAACGGUGAGACUUCAGCUGUGGGAUACUGCUGGUCAAGAAAGGUUUCGAAGUUUGAUACCUAGCUACAUUAGAGAUUCUACAGUUGCUGUUGUAGUAUAUGACAUCACAAAUGCUAACUCCUUUCACCAAACCUCUAAGUGGAUUGAUGAUGUUAGAACGGAGAGAGGAAAUGAUGUGAUUAUCAUGUUAGUUGGAAAUAAGACAGAUUUGGCUGACAAAAGACAGGUCACAACAGAAGAGGGUGAAAGAAAGGCCAAGGAACUUAAUGUGAUGUUUAUUGAAACAAGUGCUAAGUCUGGGUAUAAUGUCAAACAGUUAUUUAGACGAGUUGCUGCAGCCCUUCCUGGAAUGGAAAAUGCAGAGAAAACAAAAGAAGACAUUGUUGACGUUGACCUGAAAGAUGCUCCGAUUGAGCCACAGAAACAAGAGGGUGGGUGCUGGUGCUAGGGAUGCCUGGCAUGUGAGGGCUGGUGCUGGUGUUUGGAGGGUUGUUGAUACCAGGACCACCCAGUAUAAGAGGGAACUACUUUCUGAAGUUUGAGCAGUAGGAACUUCUUUCAGAGCAUAGAACCUCCUUAACUCUUCACAGCUGUACCUUUGAAACCACAGGAACCUCCCAAGGAACAAAAAGAUGAAGAGGGAGGCUGUAUUUGUUAAGGAUAUAUUUUAUUCCUAUACUUUGUCUGCAUUAAGCUUGCCAGAAAGUCUAAAUUAUAUUAUAUAUUGAUCUGCUUAAUUUGCUGGCCUUAGCCUAUCAAGACCUCAUUGAAGGCAGUGGUACCACUCCUACACAAAGCUAAUGACAACUACUUCAAUCAUGUAGUCAUUUCACAGCUCAGCUUCUAGAUCAACACUAAUGCUCUAUGUUGUUUUCAUAUUUCUUGCUGUGUUUUUAGUCCUGAGAUUCUAGAGAUGGUGAGAAAGUAAUUAAGAACUAUAGGUUUCCUUAAUCCUUUGUCAUGUCAACACUAGGACACUAUCAAAUAGUUUGAAUGUAAAGUAUUCAGUGUGGAGUAGGCAUUUCUUUUUCUGAAUACAUUAAGACAUUGACCAUUUAAAAAUCAUUUGGUGGUCAUAUUUGCUCUACUGGCCUUAAAUGUUAUGUGUUGAAAGAGUCAAUUAAGAAAUAGUUGUUCCAUCUAAAAAGAAAAAUAUAACGUAUCUCAGAAUCAUUCCAUUUUAAGUACAUAACAAUUUUGGAUUAAAUAGGUAGGUGAAAUAAUUUUAUUUUGGUGGGACUUUGCUGUUAUUAAUGGAUAAUUUUUUUAACGUUUUGUAUGAAUUUUGUCUCUGGGUUUUUUACCCAGAUGAUUUGUUUGAAUAUUAAUUUAUAAUUUUAUAGAAUCAAAUAAGUAUUUAUUUCUGAGUGCAUUGAAAAUGUACAGUUUGUGGCACAAGUUUGUUCAUGAAUGAGAAAUUUGGAACUUACUGAAGUUUUAAUUUAGUACUUACUAUGCAAUUAUCUAUAACUGAUCAUUCCUUGUAAGACAGUUUUAAUUUGGAAAGAAAACAGUUUUUCAAAUGUAACACCAUAAAUAAUUUUAAUUUUGUGUUUGGUGGUUCAAAAACCUAAAGAAACUUUCACUUCUGUUACAUUUUCAGAAAAUUGUGAAAAUCUGUAUGCUAUUAAAUGUUGCUUCAUUUUUUCUGAUACCUAACACGUUAUCUGUGAAAUUCCUUAAUUUUACAACUAAUUUUAACUUUGAAUAUUAGAAAACUUAUAGAUUGGAUAUGUAUAUGAAUAUAAUUUGCAUGACAUUUAAACUUCUUUCUGCUUAUCAGCCCUGAUAGUGAAUAAAAAAAAUAUUUAUUGUUUUGUGUAUCCAUGUUACAUAAAAUUCACUGUUGUUCUUUUCACAAUUCCAAAUUUAUCUAUAGUAUGUUACAUGUAACAAACUGAGUGUCAUAAUCAUUAAGAACAUUUAAUACCAAAGAGUAAAUGGUAAAACUUAGGCAAAUUUAAGGAUUCAGGGCUGGAUUCUUCAAGUGUCUGUUCACAAAGAUUGUUUACUUUUUUGCACAGCUUAAUUUAAUAGUUAAAAAACUAAUAUUUGACCAGUCUGAAAUAUCCAUUGUAUAUGAAUGGAAACUUGUACCUAUUACUUGAACCCUUUUAUGAACUAAUACAGGUAAUUUAGAGAAGCAAUAUAAGAAUAAAGUUUGGGAUCUGUGGGUUUUUAAAAAUGCUGACUGGUUUGUCUGUAUCAACUUUAAGAGUUCUUGUGCUUGCAAUGAACUAUCCACAUGCUUAGUUUGAACAUACACGUGUUCCUUAUAAAUCUGGUAAACUUUCCAUUAGGAUGAUAAAAAUAAGAACGUAGGCAGCAUUGAAAAUAAGUUAAUAAAUUACAUGUGCAUUACCAACCCAAUGUUAGCAGUUGACAUAUUUUGUUUUCAAAAAGGGAUUACAUAUGACAACAUAGCAGAAAAAUGAAGUGCUGUACAUCUAUAAGGAUCCUGUCCCACGGCUAAAACAUAUCUUAUGCUUACUCCCAUUGUCAUCUGCUUUGGCUUUCAUGAUUUACACAAGUUUGAGUAUUAAUAGAUGUAUCAUAUUCUAUUACUGAACUAUUGUUUUAUUAUGACAUUAAGAUAUUUAAGAGUUUGGUAAUUUUAUCAUGUGAAGGGUUCUGGGCAGCAUCUUGAGUAGACACUGCGUGAAAAUUAUAAGGGAUCUUCUUGUGAGCAUAUUUGGAUUUGUUGAAUAUGUUUUGUUGUUUUCUUUCACACACAUAUAUUGGGUUUAUUAAGAAGUUUGAUACCAUGUAAAAGUAAAGCAUCUAUUAAAUUAUCCAGUUCAUAUUGAUAGGAUGUGAUAAUCUAGGUUUACAGUCACCAAGUCAACAAUAAUAUAUUUGUGGCAUAAGUUGCUCAGUUAUAUGUAAACCUCACUUUAAACUAGCAUUAAGCUUAUAUUGCAGUUGAGAAUGUUGAAACAUUAAGCUGGCAAUUUUGUAAGGACUACUUUUGACUUUGUUCAUCUUUUUCUUCAGAUACAAGCAGAUUGUAGUGACAAUUUAGGUUUAACAUAUUGUAACAUUCAAACUGACUAGGGCAGAUAAGUUGACCAUAAAUAAGAUGGGAAUAUCAAAACUGAUAAUGAGAACAUUAGAUGUCAAUAAAAAGUUGUCUGUGGUGCUAAUUAACAAGGUUAAAACUAAUAGAAAUGAAAAAGUGGCUGGAAGUAUGUAGUGAAAACGAACAAAUUUACACAUACACACAUAUACUAGUUGUUUCUCUUUAGUAAGCAAUACUUGCUUCUAGGUCUGUUAAAGUAAAUAUUCAAUUUGUAUUGUUAGAGAAGCAGUUGUAUAUUUAUGUAUGAUAUAUAUGUAGUGGUAAUUAAUUUAUUAAUACUUGACCCUCAUAAAAUACCAAUGUGUGUGUAUAUGUGAAUGUUUUUUCCUUCUUACCAUAUUAAAGUACUUUACUGCAGGGAUUCUGAACUUGUAGCAGUACUGCCAGAUCACUGGGCCAAAUCAAUAAAUUGAUAGUCUUUUAACUUUUUUUUUAUGAAGUAAAACAUUUUGAAAUUAUGUUAUGGAUACAUCUUAAUAAUAAUAGGCCCUUGAAACUUGUAUUGUUUUCUAAUCAAACUUGUUUUGGUCAAGUUUUAUUUCAGUGUUGAAAAAAAGGUAUGAAGGACCAGAUUUUUUGUUUGUUUAUUAUGAUGAUUGGACAGACUUGGUAAAAGAAACCUCAGUAUAUAAAUAUCAUGGCUGAUUGGCCAAUAAAAGGAUAGAUGCAGGACUAACUUCCCAGUUUUUGUUUCCAGUUUAUUGUGGACAUUCAUCACUCGGUGCAUGGAGAUAGGCUUUUGUAAGAAAAGCAAUGGUUGCAUUAAAGUGUCAAUGCCUAAGAAAGUUGUUUUGAGCAUUCUUUGAAAUGUUUUAGUUCAAAACAAAUCAUUUUAAAAUUAAUGUAUUCUGUAUUAAACUGGAUGUACAGUGGUUCGUCAGUUUUUUACUUUUACAAAGAAAAUUUAAUAAUUUUUUUCUAUACAAGGAAUAUUUCGUGUACCAACUAGUAAAAAAAAGAAAGAAAAUGCACUAAAUAUCUUUAAAAAUAUUGCUCUUCCGUUUGAAGGAAACUCUCACAACUACAAGAAGCCUGACCUUGUUGAGUUCUGAAUAAAAAUAUAUCUAAAAUACAGUACAAUUUACUUCUCAACUUAAUAUGGUAUAUAUUAAGAAUAUAAUUACAGAACAGUCUGAUUUUUACUUCUGUGAAAAAUUAGAGCAAAAAUACAUUACAAAAUUAUUAUAGUUUAAUUCUUUGUUUUAUGUUCAAAGGAGCCCUUCUGCAUUAUAAAUUAAUUUUUUUUUCUUCCUUUUGUUCUAAAUGUGAAGUUUAUUUGUAUAAAGAGUCAAAAGAAAAUACAUAGUCUUAAUGGAAGAUAAUUAGUAAAACACUUUCACUCUAAAAAUUCACAAUGAAAACUAUCUAGUUAACCUCUUAAACUGAUAUUAACUUUUCAUUAAAAAAAUAUACAUGAAUCUAUGAUGAGAGAAUUCUUGAAUCCAAGGAUGAAUGUUUGAUAGUUAUGUAUUGGUGAUGUGAAGUAUGUUUGAUUAACCAUCUUUAAACA